UUAAAGGGUAGUAUAAUUUAUUAUGGACGAUUUACACUCGUUUGAUGUUCUGGGUAGGGCCCCUUUAAU
This 69-nucleotide transfer RNA is filed under the name Trisidos kiyonoi. RNAcentral describes it as "tRNA-Val". The record is from RNAcentral. Lineage: Eukaryota; Metazoa; Mollusca; Bivalvia; Arcoida; Arcidae.